AUUAGAGUUGCCGGAGAUGUGUGCGCAACAAUGGAGUAAACUUGUGACAGAUCUGAGCAAAUGUAAACUAAAAGAGUUAGUCAUACUGUUGCUGGAGGAAUUCUUCUGCUGAUACAAAAGGCGUAUAUAUGCUCUUGUGCCCAGUGUCACUUUAUGGACAUACAAUACUGAAAUGACAUUAGGAAUCUUGAACUAUCAAAAUUACACAAGUAUAAAACUAUUAAUUGCACAUUGCAAGCUUGCACCUGCAAAAAACGAAGGAACUUUUGCUCAAAGUGUCUGAAGUUUCUUGCAUAAGUGUCCAACCAGCAUUGAUGGAUUCCAAUUGCCCUGAUAUGGAUUCUCCAUGACCGUAAUGUCCUGGUGAAACCUUUCACGAUGCUUAUUACUGACAGCAUGAAGAUUUGCAGGGAAAAAAUCUACACUGGAAUGCAGAAAAUGAAUCUUUAGUGACACGUUGUAGUUCAUGGUUUUGUAUCCUUGAAGCAUGUUGUCAAUCAGCUGCAUGUAAUUUGGUGCUUUGUAGUUGCCAAGAGUAUUUUCAACAACAUCCUUGAAUUCCUUCCAUGCAGUUUUCUCUGGUUCUUCAACUUGCCUGUCAUUUUUUGAUCUUUUUGAUUUGUGGACCAACAAAAAUGCCUUCCUUAAACUUGGCAUCAGUUAUUCUGGGAAACAUCUGUCUUAAAUAUCAAAAUCCUUCACGGAAAUUUAUAGCCUUUCUAAA
Molecule: long non-coding RNA, 724 nt
Organism: Mobula hypostoma (lesser devil ray)
Lineage: Eukaryota; Metazoa; Chordata; Chondrichthyes; Myliobatiformes; Myliobatidae
Exons: 4
Source: RefSeq, a predicted model, not a curated record